Molecule: ribosomal RNA, 1439 nt
Filed under: uncultured organism
Description: 16S ribosomal RNA
Rfam family: Bacterial small subunit ribosomal RNA
Source: RNAcentral
CAGGCUUAACACAUGCAAGUCGAGGGGCAGCAUGGUCUUAGCUUGCUAAGGCCGAUGGCGACCGGCGCACGGGUGAGUAACACGUAUCCAACCUGCCGUCUACUCUUGGACAGCCUUCUGAAAGGAAGAUUAAUACAAGAUGGCAUCAUGAGUCCGCAUGUUCACAUGAUUAAAGGUAUUCCGGUAGACGAUGGGGAUGCGUUCCAUUAGAUAGUAGGCGGGGUAACGGCCCACCUAGUCUUCGAUGGAUAGGGGUUCUGAGAGGAAGGUCCCCCACAUUGGAACUGAGACACGGUCCAAACUCCUACGGGAGGCAGCAGUGAGGAAUAUUGGUCAAUGGGCGAGAGCCUGAACCAGCCAAGUAGCGUGAAGGAUGACUGCCCUAUGGGUUGUAAACUUCUUUUAUAAAGGAAUAAAGUCGGGUAUGCAUACCCGUUUGCAUGUACUUUAUGAAUAAGGAUCGGCUAACUCCGUGCCAGCAGCCGCGGUAAUACGGAGGAUCCGAGCGUUAUCCGGAUUUAUUGGGUUUAAAGGGAGCGUAGAUGGAUGUUUAAGUCAGUUGUGAAAGUUUGCGGCUCAACCGUAAAAUUGCAGUUGAUACUGGAUAUCUUGAGUGCAGUUGAGGCAGGCGGAAUUCGUGGUGUAGCGGUGAAAUGCUUAGAUAUCACGAAGAACUCCGAUUGCGAAGGCAGCCUGCUAAGCUGCAACUGACAUUGAGGCUCGAAAGUGUGGGUAUCAAACAGGAUUAGAUACCCUGGUAGUCCACACGGUAAACGAUGAAUACUCGCUGUUUGCGAUAUACAGCAAGCGGCCAAGCGAAAGCGUUAAGUAUUCCACCUGGGGAGUACGCCGGCAACGGUGAAACUCAAAGGAAUUGACGGGGGCCCGCACAAGCGGAGGAACAUGUGGUUUAAUUCGAUGAUACGCGAGGAACCUUACCCGGGCUUAAAUUGCAGAUGAAUUACGGUGAAAGCCGUAAGCCGCAAGGCAUCUGUGAAGGUGCUGCAUGGUUGUCGUCAGCUCGUGCCGUGAGGUGUCGGCUUAAGUGCCAUAACGAGCGCAACCCUUGUUGUCAGUUACUAACAGGUUCCGCUGAGGACUCUGACAAGACUGCCAUCGUAAGAUGUGAGGAAGGUGGGGAUGACGUCAAAUCAGCACGGCCCUUACGUCCGGGGCUACACACGUGUUACAAUGGGGGGGUACAGAGGGCCGCUACCACGCGAGUGGAUGCCAAUCCCAAAAACCUCUCUCAGUUUGGACUGGAGUCUGCAACCCGACUCCACGAAGCUGGAUUCGCUAGUAAUCGCGCAUCAGCCACGGCGCGGUGAAUACGUUCCCGGGCCUUGUACACACCGCCCGUCAAGCCAUGGGAGCCGGGGGUACCUGAAGUGCGUAACCGCGAGGAGCGCCCUAGGGUAAAACUGGUGACUGGGGCUAAG